AUAAUAUAAGAUACUAUCUCUUAAUUUUUAACUAAAAAAAUCAAGAGACAUCUUUUAAAUAAAAGAUAUAAGAGACGUCUCUUACCUUUUUUAGUUAAAAGCUAAGAGACCGUGUCUUAUAUUAC
Molecule: non-coding RNA, 125 nt
Organism: Brassica napus (rape)
Lineage: Eukaryota; Viridiplantae; Streptophyta; Magnoliopsida; Brassicales; Brassicaceae
Source: Rfam